RNAcentral lists this signal recognition particle RNA (253 nucleotides) under Lachnospiraceae bacterium. RNAcentral's name for it is "signal recognition particle sRNA large type". The stretch from base 50 to 246 matches the Rfam family "Bacterial large signal recognition particle RNA", at positions 60 to 249 of the family's 256-position model. From Rfam's summary of the family: The signal recognition particle (SRP) is a universally conserved ribonucleoprotein involved in the co-translational targeting of proteins to membranes. Archaeal SRP consists of a 7S RNA and homologues of the eukaryotic SRP19 and SRP54 proteins. Lineage: Bacteria; Bacillati; Bacillota; Clostridia; Lachnospirales; Lachnospiraceae. The record is from RNAcentral.
AAGCAACAUUGACAAGAAAUUAAAAAAUGGGUAUACUCAAUAAUACCGCAAUCAUUGUAUUGGUUGGCAUCGUUAUAGCUGCCCCGGAUAAGUGGCGCUUAAGCUUGGGUCUUACGCGACGGAAAUCUACGAACCGUGUCAGGUUGGGAACAAAGCAGCACUAAGAAGAACCUUCCGGGUGCCGUAAGGCAACCUGAGCCCAGCUAACUGUCCGGGUAACGUGUAGCGAUGUCAACCAAUGCAAUGGUUGCUU